Molecule: transfer RNA, 66 nt
Filed under: Omoglymmius wukong
Lineage: Eukaryota; Metazoa; Arthropoda; Insecta; Coleoptera; Carabidae
Description: tRNA-Pro
Source: RNAcentral
CAGAAAUUAGUUUAUUUUAAAAUAAUAAUUUUGGAGAUUAUUGAUAAAUGUUUAAUUUGUUUCUGA